Molecule: ribosomal RNA, 300 nt
Filed under: uncultured Natronolimnobius sp.
Lineage: Archaea; Methanobacteriati; Methanobacteriota; Halobacteria; Halobacteriales; Natrialbaceae
Description: bacterial SSU rRNA
Rfam family: Bacterial small subunit ribosomal RNA
Source: RNAcentral
GUUAAUUGCGUGCCUGGGGCCGCGGGAAUACGUGGGGGGCAAGCGUUGGCCGGAAUUAUUGGGCGGAAAGCGCGCGCAGGCGGUCCUUUAAGUAGGAUGUGAAAGCCCACGGCUCAACCGUGGAGGGUCAUUGGAAACUGGGGGACUUGAGUGCAGAAGAGGAAAGCGGAAUUCCACGUGUAGCGGUGAAAUGCGUAGAGAUGUGGAGGAACACCAGUGGCGAAGGCGGCUUUCUGGUCUGUAACUGACGCUGAGGCGCGAAAGCGUGGGGAGCAAACAGGAUUAGAUACCCCAGUAGUC